Molecule: ribosomal RNA, 497 nt
Filed under: uncultured bacterium
Lineage: Bacteria
Description: partial 16S ribosomal RNA
Rfam family: Bacterial small subunit ribosomal RNA
Source: RNAcentral
GAUGAACGCUGGCGGCGUGCCUAAUACAUGCCAGUCGAGCGAACGGACGAGAAGCUUGCUUCUCUGAUGUUAGCGGCGGACGGGUGAGUAACACGUGGAUAACCUACCUAUAAGACUGGGAUAACUUCGGGAAACCGGAGCUAAUACCGGAUAAUAUUUUGAACCGCAUGGUUCAAAAGUGAAAGACGGUCUUGCUGUCACUUAUAGGUGGAUCCGCGCUGCAUUAGCUAGUUGGUAAGGUAACGGCUUACCAAGGCAACGAUGCAUAGCCGACCUGAGAGGGUGAUCGGCCACACUGGAACUGAGACACGGUCCAGACUCCUACGGGAGGCAGCAGUAGGGAAUCUUCCGCAAUGGGCGAAAGCCUGACGGAGCAACGCCGAGUGAGUGAUGAAGGUCUUCGGAUCGUAAAACUCUGUUAUUAGGGAAGAACAUAUGUGUAAGUAACUGCGCACAUCUUGACGGUACCUAAUCAGAAAGCCACGGCUAACUACGUG